RNAcentral lists this microRNA precursor (88 nucleotides) under Marmota monax (woodchuck). Lineage: Eukaryota; Metazoa; Chordata; Mammalia; Rodentia; Sciuridae. The record is from RNAcentral.
ACUUGAAUCACCUGGAGACUUUGUAAAAUGCAGAUUUCUCCAGGGGCCUGAGAUUCUGCAGGUAUACAAGUUCUCUAGUGAUGCCUUG